Molecule: non-coding RNA, 899 nt
Organism: Megalobrama amblycephala (Wuchang bream)
Lineage: Eukaryota; Metazoa; Chordata; Actinopteri; Cypriniformes; Xenocyprididae
Source: the annotation of a RefSeq genome assembly
CAUCAUCUUCAUCUGGACUCUCACAGCGUUUGCUCAAGAGUGUAGAGGACAGAUCACCGUCACUCAGAGUCCCUCAAUGACAGCAGCUCAACCAGGACAAACUGUGGAGAUCAACUGUAAAACCAGCACAGAUGUGGCCAGUUAUUCCGGAACAUACUUUUUCAGCUGGUACUUACAGAAACCUGGAGGAGCUCCUAAACUCUGGAUUUAUGGAACAAACAGCCUCCAGUCAGGAACUCCAUCUAGAUUCAGUGGCAGUGGAUCUAACAGUGAUUUCACUCUGACCAUCAGUGGAGUCCAGACUGAAGAUGCUGGACAUUAUUACUGUCUGAGUUUCCACACUGGUCCAGUGAUCACACAGUGAUAAAGAGUCGUACAAAAACCUCCGUCAGUCAGAGUCACAGUGACUGAACUGAUACUGCAGCUGCUCACACACUUUCACACACUUUCACACACACUCAACAGCAGAAGGUUUUCAAACACACAGAUCUAAACAUUCUUCUACAAACGUUUUCUCUCUCAUAAACUUUCAUCAAGUCAAGUCAGCAGACCAAACACAUCUGAAACCAGACAAAAUGGACCUGAUGGACUAAUUUCUGUUUCUCAUCAUUUAUCUUUGGCCACAUUUAGCAUAUGACAAAGAUUGGGUAUGUGAAUGUGUUCAGAGAUUUUGACUAUAGGAAAAAGAAAUAUUGAAUUGAACUCUAUUCAAAUAAAUAAAAUGAACAAAAUGAUUGAACAUAAUCUGUUCAUGUUCAGUAAAAAGCCUAUACCACACAUCAGGAAAACAGAUUGAGAAAGUGAACAAUUUAAUCAAAUGAUCUUGAAGUAAUUAAAUCCACAAUUUCUUUUAUGGCUUAAUUUAAACAGAUUUCAGAUGAGGUCGUGUGAAAACAACA